CGCGCAGGCGGUCCGGUCAGUCGGAAGUGAAAUCCAUCGGCUCAACCGAUGAAUGGCUUCCGAUACCGCCAGACUUGAGUACGGGAGAGGAAAGCGGAAUUCCCAGUGUAGAGGUGAAAUUCGUAGAUAUUGGGAAGAACACCGGUGGCGAAGGCGGCUUUCUGGACCGAUACUGACGCUGAGGCGCGAAAGCGUGGGGAGCAAACA
RNAcentral lists this ribosomal RNA (207 nucleotides) under uncultured bacterium. Its description in RNAcentral is "partial 16S ribosomal RNA". It matches the Rfam family "Bacterial small subunit ribosomal RNA", at positions 568 to 774 of the family's 1533-position model. The record is from RNAcentral.